This 720-nucleotide ribosomal RNA is filed under the name Gymnodinium catenatum. RNAcentral's name for it is "eukaryotic LSU rRNA". It matches the Rfam family "Eukaryotic large subunit ribosomal RNA", at positions 131 to 772 of the family's 3401-position model. The record is from RNAcentral. Lineage: Eukaryota; Dinophyceae; Gymnodiniales; Gymnodiniaceae.
CCUGGCCACGAAUUGUAAUCUCUCGACGCGCUGCCAGCAGGGGCGUAGAUGUAAGCCGCUUGGAAAAGCGAAUCACUGAGGGUGAGAAUCCUGUUCGUCAUCUGCAGACCUCUGUGUACGGCACACGUUCUAAGAGUCACGUUCCUUGGGAUUGGAGCGCAAAUUGGGUGGUAAAUUUCAUCUAAAGCUAAAUAUGGGUUCGAGACCGAUAGCAAACAAGUACCAUGAGGGAAAGAUGAAAAGGACUUUGAAAAGAGAGUUAAAAGUGCCUGAACUUGCUGAAAGGAAAGCGGAUGGAACCAGUUUUGCUUGGUGAGAUUGUCGCACGCAGCAAUGAUCACCUUCUAUUCCAGCGAAAGCGGGGCGGUGGGCUGUGAUUUGUUCGGUGUGAUGUUUCUUGCCUUGUGUGUCAUCAUCAGUUUGGAGGUGGGGACAACUCUUGGGACCUGGUAGCUCGCCCCUGGGUGAGUGAAUGUGCCUUGCGGGACCCACCAACAAACAGUUCAACCUUUGUGGGGCUGCGUUGCUUCGUGUUGCGUGCUCUGGCGAGCUUCACACGCGUGGCACCUUCCUUACAAGCUAAUGGUGACGAAAUGGUUCUAUUCGACCCGUCUUGAAACACGGACCAAGGAGUCUAACAUGUGUGCGAGUUCAUGGGUGGUAAAACUUGCGUGCGCAAUGAAAGUGAUUGCUGAGACCUUAGCAUCAGCGGCCGACCAA